RNAcentral lists this ribosomal RNA (492 nucleotides) under uncultured bacterium. Its description in RNAcentral is "partial 16S ribosomal RNA". It matches the Rfam family "Bacterial small subunit ribosomal RNA", at positions 29 to 507 of the family's 1533-position model. The record is from RNAcentral.
AGUGAACGCUGGCGGUAGGCCUAACACAUGCAAGUCGAACGGCAGCACAGUAAGAGCUUGCUCUUACGGGUGGCGAGUGGCGGACGGGUGAGGAAUACAUCGGAAUCUACUUUUUCGUGGGGGAUAACGUAGGGAAACUUACGCUAAUACCGCAUUCGACCUACGGGUGAAAGCAGGGGAUCUUCAGACCUUGCGCGAUUGAAUGAGCCGAUGUCGGAUUAGCUAGUUGGCGGGGUAAAGGCCCACCAAGGCGACGAUCCGUAGCUGGUCUGAGAGGAUGAUCAGCCACACUGGAACUGAGACACGGUCCAGACUCCUACGGGAGGCAGCAGUGGGGAAUAUUGGACAAUGGGCGCAAGCCUGAUCCAGCCAUACCGCGUGGGUGAAGAAGGCCUUCGGGUUGUAAAGCCCUUUUGUUGGGAAAGAGAAGCAGCAGGUUAAUACCCCGCUGUUCUGACGGUACCCAAAGAAUAAGCACCGGCUAACUUCGUG